RNAcentral lists this ribosomal RNA (253 nucleotides) under uncultured bacterium. Its description in RNAcentral is "partial 16S ribosomal RNA". It matches the Rfam family "Bacterial small subunit ribosomal RNA", at positions 524 to 776 of the family's 1533-position model. The record is from RNAcentral.
UACGUAGGUGGCAAGCGUUGUCCGGAAUCACUGGGUGUAAAGGGAGCGCAGGCGGGAAGCCAAGUCAGCUGUGAAAACUACGGGCUUAACUUGUAGACUGCAGUUGAAACUGGUUUUCUUGAGUGAAGUAGAGGUUGGCGGAAUUCCGAGUGUAGCGGUGAAAUGCGUAGAUAUUCGGAGGAACACGGGUGGCGAAGGCGGCCAACUGGGCUUUAACUGACGCUGAGGCUCGAAAGUGUGGGGAGCAAACAGG